GAUGAAGAACGCAGUGAAACGCGAAAUGUAAUGUGAAUUGCAGAACCUCCAGUGAAUCAUCGAAUCUUUGAACGCAUCUUGCGCCCCGUGGCAUUCCGCGGGGCAUGUCUGUUUGAGUGUCGUUUGACCUCUCAACCGCUUUGGUAUUCGAUUACAAAAGUCGGCUUGGAACUUGGGUGCCUCUGGCGAAACGCAAGGGUCUUUGCGGACCUGUCGCCCACCCCAAAGUCAGUUGGGCCAACCGCGCGGAUGAGCGGACGGUUUGACCACAGUGUUGUAAGGUUCGCCUCACUGUCGGGACGUCCAUUUCCGUCGCAAUCAGGCAUUUGAAAUACGAUACUAUUGAUUUUGACCUCAAAUCAGACAGGACUACCCGCUGAACUUAAGCAUAUCAAUAAGCGGAGGA
This 406-nucleotide unclassified non-coding RNA is filed under the name soil metagenome. RNAcentral's name for it is "partial contains 5.8S ribosomal RNA, internal transcribed spacer 2, and large subunit ribosomal RNA". The stretch from base 1 to 122 matches the Rfam family "5.8S ribosomal RNA", at positions 35 to 154 of the family's 154-position model. The record is from RNAcentral.